This 59-nucleotide ribosomal RNA is filed under the name Bipolaris maydis (southern corn leaf blight pathogen). RNAcentral's name for it is "partial 28S ribosomal RNA". The record is from RNAcentral. Lineage: Eukaryota; Fungi; Ascomycota; Dothideomycetes; Pleosporales; Pleosporaceae.
UUGACCUCGGAUCAGGUAGGGAUACCCGCUGAACUUAAGCAUAUCAAUAAACGGAGGAA